Molecule: long non-coding RNA, 866 nt
Organism: Neogale vison (American mink)
Lineage: Eukaryota; Metazoa; Chordata; Mammalia; Carnivora; Mustelidae
Exons: 3
Source: RefSeq, a predicted model, not a curated record
CGAAAACGAGAUGAUUGUUAAUAUGCAGCCAAACUUGAGUCCAACACCAGAGCUUUGGAUAUGAUGAGAACACAAAAUAUGUUUGGCUGAUGCAGUCUGGGAUCCCCACUGCACCCCAGUGUGCAACAUAGUAUUGAAAAACAAAACAAAACAGGGGACCAAGCCUCAACAGUUCUACUGGAAACAAAUGAAGAAUGGAAUGACUCUGAAAUCCUGGGCGCCGUUCCUCUCAAGUAUUGGCUUCUGGAAGACACAGCAACAGAAUAUCCCCAACCCGUAUCUGCAUGGCUUGAGCAAAAUGACAAUCUCCCUAAAAAGGCCCACAGUGAGGGACUCAGUCAUUACAACCACUGGAAGGGAGACUAUUUCUCUGUCUUCAGAAGCUUCCCCAGUCCUCCCAAUUCCCAACUCUGUGUGGGUAAUUCUCUGUGAGCUAAACUGGCAAGGCUGCACUGGGAUGUCGACCAGCUGCGGAUGCAAAAAACGCCUGUUCCUUCUUUGAUUUGUGGCUCCUGGUCCUGGACACCUCAUUGCUCCCCCUGUUCUCAUGAGGAGUCAGUGCCCUGGAACAAGGCCCCAGGAGUUUCUACCAUAAGGGACUCAACUUUACAGCUAGGAGACACCACAAAACUAGUUUCUAGGAAUACUUUCCAUUUCAAGAGGACAACUUUAAUAAGGUCACCGAGGGCUGCUUCCUAUCUAUCGUCUGGGUGUUUCUCCAGCCUGGCAGCUGCUUCAGCAACAGAACUCAAGUCAGGUAGCCCCUAACGCUGAACGUAGGGCCCAGAACAAUCUACUAAACGAAAGAUAGAGACUUGAUGUCAAUCCCACUAUAAGAGAUUUUCUUACCUUAUUUUUUGUUUUUU